Echinops telfairi (small Madagascar hedgehog) is the source of this 1613-nucleotide long non-coding RNA. RefSeq lists it as uncharacterized. Lineage: Eukaryota; Metazoa; Chordata; Mammalia; Afrosoricida; Tenrecidae. The record is from RefSeq and is a predicted model, not a curated record. The transcript has 3 exons.
CCUGCCGCCCCUGAAGCCUCCUGAAGGGCAGCCCGGCCGCCCGCGUGGGGGGAGGAGGGCGGCGGCGAGCGGGCGAUCCGCGGCUCCGGUGGGACGGCGGCCCCCAGCCCGGCCGGCGGGCGCGCAGGUGCCAACGACGUCGCAGGAAACUCCCGCGGGCCAGGCUCUGGCUCCGGCUCCCGAUCGCCGAGACCUGUUGCCUGGCCGAGGGAAGCCAGAGGCAGGAAGCUCCCAGGGGAGGGGAAACCAGCAAACUGAUUCGGGCCAGACCGCCACGGAGUCGGGGUGUGUAGGGGUGGCCACCCCUUCUCUGCCUGGGCAAUAUGGCUGAGUUCCUGCAGAGCCUCUCCUACCACCCCCAGCCCAGGAGACGCCUGAGGAGCAGCAGCCAAGAAGGCUUGACAGGCUCGCCACCCCCACCCCACCGCCCGCUCAGGAUCCCACUGAAGAAUCUCUGGCUGCUCCUGGAGGCCCUGGUAUGCUGCCACCUGGCCGGCUGCCCAGCCAGAGAUGCGGGAGCAGGCCCCCCGUCCCCGCACCCACACUCUGGUGCUGGCUGCUCACAGCCCAAGUGCUCCGUGAACCUGGACUAGAAGUGGCAGCCUGUCCGCCUGACACAGAGGUCCAGUCUUAGCGGACUCCCUGCUCGGGUGCCCCGCUGGAGCUGGGCUGAGGAAAGGCCUUCUGCUGCCUCCACUCCCAUCGCCGCAGCCGGGGCUGGGGGGCUUCUCUCCUUGUGCCAAGGCUCCUAGGAGCCCCAAUCCUGGUGAUCCCUAUAUCCACCCAUCUCUCUCCACCCAUGACAGUCUCUGGGGGCAUGUCAGCCUGCUGUUUCCACCCACAGGUGGGGGGAAGCUGAGGAGUGAAGGGCCUCCUGACUAUGACUCUUAGAUUGGGCCCCUUCGAACCCAGGCUUGCCCCUCUAGGUGACCACCCUCUCAGCUCCAGCCUCUGCCCGGGCCACCCUGGAAGGGAGGGCCCUAAGAAGGGCCCUUCAGGCUGUGUGUGCACGUGUGCACUGGUUGAGUGAGUGAGUGAGUGGUGUGUGUGUGUGUGUGUGUGUGUGUGUUGGGGACAGAGUUGCCUGCAGGGUGUUCACCCCAGACAUGGGGCUCCCCAGGAGCUGCCCAGGGCCUCGCACACUGCCUUCCCACAGGAGAAAUGUGUGGCACAGCCCAGGAGUCCCUGCCCUCAGCUCGCAGAGACCCUGCCUUGCAGAGCCACCCCACCCCUGAGCAGGGGUCCCUGAUGCUACCCUGCUAUGGGCUGGGGGGUGGGGGGGUCUGGCUCAAGGGAUUUGGGUAGGGGCAGGGCAGGGAGCAGCCUUAGGGUCUCUGACCACGUUGGCCUUGGGCAGUUGAGGGCUUCCCUUGUCUCCUAUCCCCCACCACCUGCCUGAGUGCACUUUACUUAUCCCAGAGAGGUGGGGGGUAGGGGGUGGGGUUUGGGUGUCAGGACCCUCAGGUGUCAGAUGGCAGGGGGUUAACUGUACCAGUCGGCACAGCCUGGGCAGAGCAAUGUUCUCAUGUCUGUUGUUGUUGCAUCGUGUUGACUCUUUAAGUUAAAAACCAAAAACAAAUCUUCGAAUUCAAAUAAAAUACAACAAAAAUGAG